Molecule: ribosomal RNA, 502 nt
Filed under: Gardena sp.
Lineage: Eukaryota; Metazoa; Arthropoda; Insecta; Hemiptera; Reduviidae
Description: partial large subunit ribosomal RNA
Rfam family: Eukaryotic large subunit ribosomal RNA
Source: RNAcentral
AAAACUCAAAGGCGAAAUGAAAGUAAAUAGUGGAAUACUUAAUAAUUUUAUAUUAUUAAAUUCCCUAUAGGGAAGAUGAAAACUAUAUAUUUAUUUAUAUAUGUUUUCCGCAUUCCCGGGGCGCUUGUUUCUCGCUUUGCGAGUCAGUGCGCACCUAGAGCGUACACGCUGAUACCCGAAAGAUGGUGAACUAUGCCUGGCCAGGACGAAGCCAGGGGAAACCCUGGUGGAGGUCCGCAGCGAUUCUGACGUGCAAAUCGAUCGUCGGAGCUGGGUAUAGGGGCGAAAGACCAAUCGAACCAUCUAGUAGCUGGUUCCCUCUGAAGUUUCCCUCAGGAUAGCUUGCACUCGGUUGAGACGAGUCUCAUCCGGUAGAGCGAAUGAUUAGAGGCAUUGGGGUCGAAACGACCUCAACCUAUUCUCAAACUCCAAAUAGAUGAGACCCCCGGCUUUCUUAAAAAUGAAGCCGUGGGAGUAGGAUCAGAGUGCAAAGUGGGCCAAU